This 68-nucleotide transfer RNA is filed under the name Muscidifurax raptorellus. Its description in RNAcentral is "tRNA-Asn". Lineage: Eukaryota; Metazoa; Arthropoda; Insecta; Hymenoptera; Pteromalidae. The record is from RNAcentral.
UUAAUUAAAUCCAAAUAGCGGAAUAUUAUUGUUAAUAAUAUUAUUGAAAAUAUAAAUUUCUAAUUAAA